This 5190-nucleotide long non-coding RNA is filed under the name Sus scrofa (pig). Its description in RNAcentral is "lncRNA (ENSSSCG00035005352.1)". Lineage: Eukaryota; Metazoa; Chordata; Mammalia; Artiodactyla; Suidae. The record is from RNAcentral.
ACACUGGCUUGAUUUACUGUAGCUUUGUAGUAAGUUUUGAAACUAGGAAGUGUGACUACUCCAUCUUUGUUCUUCUUUUUCAAGAUUGUUUGGCUCUUCUGGGCCCAUUGCACUUAACACCUAAAUUUUAGGAUCAACUUUGAUUUCUGCAAAAAAAAGGUACCUGGGAUUUUGAAAGGUAUUGUGCUGACUCUGUAAAUCAGUCUGGGAGAUAUUGCAUUUUAACAAUAUCAAUUGUUCCAAUCCAUGAAUAUGCACUGUCUUAACACUUAUUUAGAUCUUUAAUUUUUUUCAACAAAAUUUUAUACUUUUCAAUUUAAAAGUCUUGCAUUUUUUUGUUACAUAUUACUAAGUAUUUUAUUCUUUUAGAGAGUGGGAUGGGAAUAGGGCAAGUGAAAACACCACAAAACUCACUGUUUUCACAGAGAUUUAGUCAUUUUUAUUGAAUAAAUGCUCUUCCAAUUGUUGUAAAUUGUUAAUUUGCAAAGUUUUGAAACAACCAUUCUUGCCAGUGUUCUCACUUCUUUCAUGGAGGAGUGGAUUUUCUGAAUUUUUUCUGACAUACCAGAAAUCAGAACUGUCUAUUAUUUAUACCACUGUCUUAUUUUAGUUAUCUGCCUGGUCUCCGAGGACAUUUGAGACAUCAAGGCAGGUGACUCAAACAGAGAUGUAUGACACAGAAGUUCAUCAGGUCACCAGGCAUCGUCAUGGCCAACGAGGUUAUAUUAACAGAUAUAUUGGGUUAAAGUUACCAAUAUGGAGGCCACAGGUAGGGUAGUGUCAAGGAGUCAUACUAGGAGUUGUUCCUCAGUGAACUGAAAGUCAAAGAGCCAUGAAGUGGCCAAUAAUCAGGUUUGUUUCUUGAUAGAGGCUCAAACCAAGAGGAAUAUCAUUACACCCCAAAUCUAGGAGAGACAAAUGCAUCUCAAAUGUCAACAUUAAUCAAUUCAUAGUUGUGACCUGGAGCUCGGUGUUGAGAAGACUCUAAUCACAUGUGGGCUUAGUGCCAAUCACUGAAUCAAUCAAUCAGAUCAACUAGAAAAUAAUGGCCACUCAAAUAGGGUGAAAGAGGAGAUUAAAGGGAUUAUUUAGGGAACUAUGGACAGAGUUAAAGGAAGUUAAUUAGGAGGGUCUUGUACUAUAGGCCAGAAAUAGUGAUUGCUGCUCUGAAGCCUGAACAACCUUCAUUCAGCAGGAUUGAUUAAAGAAAUGAGGGUUUUAGUGACUGAUGUAGAGUGGUUUUGUUUUUUUUUGGGGGGGGGGCACACCUGUGGCAUAUGGAGGUUCCCAGGCUAGGGGUCUAAUUGGAGCUAUAGCUGCCAGCCACAGCCACAGCCACAGCCAUGCCAGAUCUAAGCCAGAUCUGUGACCUACACCACAGCUCAUGGCAAUGCCAGAUCCUUAACCCAUUGAGCGAAGCUAGGGAUCAGACCUACAACCUCAUGGUUCCUAGUCAGAUUCGUUUCUGCUGCGCCAUGACAGGAACACCUAGAGUUCUUUUUUUGGCCACUUCUUGUACCAUAACUGAGGUAGGUUGUAAUAAAAUCCAUACUUUUCCUUAAAAAUUUCAGAAUCUCUUGAUUGUAAAUGCUUGGGUAUAUUUUUAUAGGUGAACAAAUGCAAUUUAUUAUUAACUUCUAUCAAACAUUCCAACUCCAUCUAAUAUAUGAGAGAUUCUAAAUUACCAAGGAGCUGCACUAUAGAUUUAAUUAUCUUGCUGAAUCCUUACCACAAAUAAAUCAGCAUUGCAUUGUUUGAAAGCCCCCAAGACCACUCUCACUUCUGACACUAACUGCAAAUUUGAGGGUACCCAAGAUCCACCUCAGGUUCAAUAAUUUGCUAUGACCCGCGGAACUCACUAGAAGCUCUUAUACUCACAGUUAUAGUUUACUACAGUGAAAAGAUAGACAUUAAAAUCAGCAGAGACAAGAGGCACAUAGGCCAGUGUCAGGAGAGAUCUAAGCAUGACCUUCCAGUCUUCCCAGUGGAUUUGUGGACCCUGGUAGCUUCUCUUAGAAAUGCAUGAUAGAUACAUGAAGUAUUGCCAACUAUGACCCUUACCUGAGUUUUUGUGUCCAGAGUUUUUGUUGAGGUUGGUUGUAUAGUCAUGGUUAACUGUCUGUAUGGCUGACCUUAAUUCUCCAGCCCCUUCAGAGGUCAAACUAAUAUUGCAUGGUCCAAGACCUCCCACCAUAAGUCACGUGUUGCAUAGACCAUCUGGUGUUGUCUCCAGGUUCCCAAGUAAAUAAAGACACUCUUAUCAGGCAGGAUGUCCCAAGUAUCAGAAGUUACGUCACAGGAGCCAAGGGCAAAGGCUAGCUCCUUAGACAAGUUUAAUCCUUUACCACACAAGUAUGUAGAGUUAUAGAAUCGUAAUUUAAAAAACAGAAUGGGGGAUUCCUUCAAGCAGGCAGACAUCUGAUAGGGAUUUUCCUAUUGUCCUUGUAGCUCAUUGAUAUUUAGUGUAUGUAAGAACUAUUAUACACAAAAUUUUGCAUGCUGGACAUCCUGGGAUAUGUGAGGGAAUUUCAAGGGACUUUUUACUUUACAGCUUAACUUAUAAAAAUAUCUUGUCACUAUACCUAAUUCCCACCACAAUGAAAUACAUAAGCAGCUGCUGCUAUAAAGAAAUAAAAACAAAAGCAAACAAAAACACCCUAAAUAAAGAAAUUGUUUUUACAAAAGAAUAUAAUCUGGAAAUUGAACUUCUGCUACAGUUACAAUUUACAUUAUAGCCAUGAACAAGUUCCUGUUGUGGCUCAGCAGGUUAGGAACCCAACUAGUGUUCAUGAGGAUGCAGGUUUAAUCCCUGGCCUCACUCAGUGGAUUAAGGAGCUGGUGUUGCUAUGAGCUGUGGGGUCAAAUUGGAGCUGCAGCCACCAACCUAUGCCACUGCCAUAGUAACGCCCGAUCUGAGCCAUAUUUGUGACCAACACCACAGCUCACAGCAAUGUCAGAUCGCUGACCCACUGAGCAAGGCCAGGGAUUGAACUGCAUCUUCACAGACACCGGUUGGGCUCAUUUCUGCUGAGCCACAGCAGGAAUUCCCUGUCCUUAUUCUUGAAUUAGACUUUAGUUAAGCAUGGAAUUCUAUGUCGACCAUAAUUGCCUUCAGCAUUUUCAAGAUAUUACCCCACUAUCUUGCACCUAUUGUUGUGGGUGAGAAGUCCAUUGCCAUCAUGAUUGUCUUGCCUUUAUAGGCAAGAAUCUCUUUUCUCUAUUUGCUAUUAAAGCUUUUUCUCUUUACACCUGAUGUUUUGUGGUUUCACUAUUACGUGUCCAUUUCAUUUCAUUUUUCUAGCACAAAAUUGUUUGUUCCUUCAACUUGAAGGCUCUCAUUUUUCUUCAAUCCUAGAAAAUUCUCAACCAUUUUCUAGAAUAAGGUCCUGCUGCAAGCGAUACAAAGAAACAAGCAAAGCCCAGAAAACCUCUAAGUUAGUGUGGCUUAUACAAGAUAGAAAUUUCUUUCUCACAUAAAUUAGGUCUUCCAGGUAGUGUCUGAUGAUGCCAGGGGUUCAGGGACUCUUCUAUUUUAUUGAUCCACUAUCCGCAGCAAGCACAUUCUCUACUCAAACUUAAACUAUAACAUCUGCAUUCCAGUUGCUAGGAAGGAAGAAGUACAGAGACGUGCCUACCUCCUCCUUAUAAAUACAUUUCUGGCAGUUGUAACUGCUGUUUUAGUUACAUCUCAUACAUAGUCAUAUGGUCAAUCUAGAUACAUGGGAAGCUGGCAAAUACUGUCUUUAGUUGGGCAGCUGAAUUCCCAGCUAAAACUGGGUGAUUCUAUGAAUAAGGCAGAGGGGAAGAUCGGUUCCUGGGAACAACUAGUAGUCUCAAGCAUAGCCAUUUUUAUGAUUGCAAAUUUCUCUCACAUAUUCUCUAUUAUGUCUCUCUGAAACUCUUAGUAAUGUUCUAUUCUCUUUGCCUCUUUUUAAUGUUAUUUUUGUGUUACUUUCUGUGAGAGUUCUUCAGCUCUCAUUCCAAUUUACUGAUUUCCUUCCUUCCUUCCUUCCUUCCUUCCUUCCUUCCUUCCUUCCUUCCUUCCUUCCUUUCUUUCUUUCUUCACCAUGCCUGCAGCAUAUGGAAGUUUCCAGUCCAGGAAUUGAAUCUGAGCCAUAGCUGUGAUCUACGCUACAGCUGUGGCCAGAUCCUUUAACCCACUGCUCCAGGCAAGGGAUCAAACCUGUGACUCCAUAGCAACCCAAGCUGCUGCAGUCAAAUCCCAAACCUACUGUACCACAGCAGGAACUUCAAAUACCUUCUCUCUCUUUUUAUUUUUGGCUGUACCCACAGCACAUGGAAGUUUUAGGUUCAGUUUUUUUAGUAUAGUUUUUAUUCUCUUAUGUCUCAAAUCAUUCAAGAAUACUUACUUCAUAGUCUCUUUGCUCUGUAUCUGUAAUUCUUGGGGGAUAAAUUCUGCUAACUUCUUCCCAUAGAAGACAUAGAUAUAUAGAUACAGAUAUACAACAUAUACACACGUAUGUAUGUAGAUAUCUGUAUAUAUGUGUAUGUGUGUGUACGCACAUGUGUAUUUUUUUCAUCUCAUCUUGGGUAUUUCUAUGUUUCAUGGUUGUAGGAUUGUAAAGUUUAUGAUGGAGCAAUUUUGUUUUGUCUCUACCAGUGUCCUUCACGUUUCCCUGGUUCAAACCAGUUUUUCUGUUGCUACCUCAGUUUGAGUUUCCUGCACUGUUCAUGAAUACACAUUUGGCCCCUACUCUUGCGUAUAGCUCAGUUUGGGAGGUAUUUCAUGUGGGUGGUAAUCAGUCACUUUCUCCCCUAAUUCUCAGGCUAAUGGGAGGAUAUAUUCUAAAAUACUUUUCACAGCACAAAAGCUAUUCUGGAAUCCUGGUUCUAUGCUCAGCUCCAACUCCACUGCUCUUGGGAUCUCAAUUCCCCUUCCAGCUCAGCUCAGCUAUUAAAAUCCCAGGUCCUGGAGUUCCUGUAGCAGUUCAGUGGAAAUGAACCCAACUAGUAUCCACGAGGAUGCAGGUUCAAUUGUUCCAUCCCUGGCCUCAUUCAGUGGGUUAAUGAUCCGGUAUUGCUGAGAGCUGUGGUGUAGGUUGAAGUCAUGGCUCAGAUCAAGCACUGCUGUGGCUGUGGCAUAGGCUGGCCCCCAGCCUGGGAAUUUCCAUAUGCCAUAGUUCUAGCCCUUAAAAAAGAAAUUAAAAAAAAAAAAAAGGAAAAAAAAAA